AGUGAACGCUGGCGGUGGGCCUAACACAUGCAAGUCGAACGGCAGCACAGUAAGAGCUUGCUCUUACGGGUGGCGAGUGGCGGACGGGUGAGGAAUACAUCGGAAUCUACUUUUUCGUGGGGGAUAACGUAGGGAAACUUACGCUAAUACCGCAUACGACCUACGGGUGAAAGCAGGGGAUCUUCGGACCUUGCGCGAUUGAAUGAGCCGAUGUCGGAUUAGCUAGUUGGCGGGGUAAAGGCCCACCAAGGCGACGAUCCGUAGCUGGUCUGAGAGGAUGAUCAGCCACACUGGAACUGAGACACGGUCCAGACUCCUACGGGAGGCGGCAGUGGGGAAUAUUGGACAAUGGGCGCAAGCCUGAUCCAGCCAUACCGCGUGGGUGAAGAAGGCCUUCGGGUUGUAAAGCCCUUUUGUUGGGAAAGAAAAGCAGCAGGUUAAUACCCCGCUGUUCUGACGGUACCCAAAGAAUAAGCACCGGCUAACUUCGUG
Molecule: ribosomal RNA, 492 nt
Filed under: uncultured bacterium
Lineage: Bacteria
Description: partial 16S ribosomal RNA
Rfam family: Bacterial small subunit ribosomal RNA
Source: RNAcentral